UGGAAGCAGUAUAUGUCUGGCAGUGC
RNAcentral lists this non-coding RNA (26 nucleotides) under Homo sapiens (human). The record is from RNAcentral. Lineage: Eukaryota; Metazoa; Chordata; Mammalia; Primates; Hominidae.